UUUCAAUGGAAAAUGCCUUAAAAACUAGAAUUUUUACCACUUCACAUAAUGUGUCUUGAAAAUUGUUGUGGUUAUUUGGAGCACACUGACAUUGGUCAGUGUGUCACACUUUUGGAGCUCAGCCUAAGCUUCUGCUGAAAUUUAUCUACAUUAAGGAACCCUCCAAAAUCAGUGCACUUAGUUUUCUAACAUCAACCUAUCAUGACACUAUCUAAAAUCGAAUUCACUGACUUAUAUCCUCAGCAUGGCAAUCAAGAAUUCUUCAAAAUAGUAAGUCAGUUUCAUAACUGCACUGGGGAUAGACCUUUUUCAGGUAAACUAUUUUCAGAAUAUAGUGACAGUGUGUGCACCCUAUCAGGUAUCUUUUUUUCCACUUUCUAGUGUAAUAGGAUAACAAUUCAUUUAAGUAUGGCCAUAGUUGCAAAACUACAUUCAAUUUGCUAAGAAAGAACUACAGGGAAAGUUUGUAACUGUCAUAUGUAUUAUGCUAUUAUGACCUAAAGGUAAAAAUGAUGUCAGCCAAAGGGACAGUUGGGACCAAGAACCAUUAGCUACACAUAGACAAUUCAAAUGCAUUUGUAUGGUAGCCAGUUUAUUUCAGUCUCUAGUCCUUCUACUAUUUUUUCCCAUUUCAUUCUUCCCAUCUUUCCCCACCUACUGCUAUAACUUUUCUUCCAGCAAGUUUUAGGGUUGAAGUUUAAAUGAGCAUCUGCCACAGCACCAAUGCCAACACUAACUGGCCAUCAACCAGCGGGGUACUCUUGCAUGGGAUGCCUGGCUCCACUUCGGAGACUGCGUUUAACCUUUAUGACAUACUCAGAUUCCACCAGCUUGGUGCCUCAAAUCCCAUGUUCCUGUUUCUCUCCAAAUUUUCUGAUCAGAAGCACAUUUUUAGGUACAAUGGGCCAACUGGUGCGCUGCCUCCUCAAGAAGGUGUCCUUGGGAAGGGUCGGGGUAGUAAACCUUUCCUGAAGGGCAAUGUCCACAGAACAGAUGUCACCAGUGGGGUCUAGAACAGGUUAACAGGUUUCUCUACUUCAUUUGGCUUCCUUGGUCAUUGAAAUACUGACUGUCCAUUUCUGAUGAGCAGAAGUAGGAGAAAACACAGUUUUCAUGGUAUGUACUAUAAGUUAUCUGCCUUCCUGGUCAGUUCAGC
Molecule: long non-coding RNA, 1156 nt
Filed under: Anser brachyrhynchus (Pink-footed goose)
Lineage: Eukaryota; Metazoa; Chordata; Aves; Anseriformes; Anatidae
Description: lncRNA (ENSABRG00000013898.1)
Source: RNAcentral